UGGGGAAUAUUGGACAAUGGGCGCAAGCCUGAUCCAGCCAUGCCGCGUGAGUGAUGAAUGCCCUAGGGUUGUAAAGCUCUUUCACCGGUGAAGAUAAUGACGGUAACCGGAGAAGAAGCCCCGGCUAACUUCGUGCCAGCAGCCGCGGUAAUACGAAGGGGGCUAGCGUUGUUCGGAUUUACUGGGCGUAAAGCGCACGUAGGCGGACUAUUAAGUCAGGGGUGAAAUCCCGGGGCUCAACCCCGGAACUGCCUUUGAUACUGGUAGUCUUGAGUUCGAGAGAGGUGAGUGGAAUUCCGAGUGUAGAGGUGAAAUUCGUAGAUAUUCGGAGGAACACCAGUGGCGAAGGCGGCUCACUGGCUCGAUACUGACGCUGAGGUGCGAAAGCGUGGGGAGCAAACAGG
RNAcentral lists this ribosomal RNA (404 nucleotides) under Actinomycetes bacterium. Its description in RNAcentral is "Actinobacteria bacterium partial 16S ribosomal RNA". It matches the Rfam family "Bacterial small subunit ribosomal RNA", at positions 355 to 776 of the family's 1533-position model. Lineage: Bacteria; Bacillati; Actinomycetota; Actinomycetes. The record is from RNAcentral.